ACAUUGGGACUGAGAGACGGCCCAAACUCCUACGGGAGGCAGCAGUAGGGAAUUUUCGGCAAUGGGGGAAACCCUGACCGAGCAACGCCGCGUGAACGACGAAGUACUUCGGUAUGUAAAGUUCUUUUAUCAGGGAAGAAUGGCUCGUGGAAAAGCGAGCGUGACGGUACCUGAUGAAUAAGCCCCGGCUAACUAUGUGCCAGCAGCCGCGGUAAUACAUAGGGGGCAAGCGUUAUCCGGAAUUAUUGGGCGUAAAGGGUGCGUAGGUGGCCGUUUAAGUCUUUGGUGUAAGUGCAGCGCUCAACGCUGUGAUGCUAAAGAAACUGGGCGACUUGAGUGUGGUAGAGGCAAGUGGAAUUCCAUGUGUAGCGGUAAAAUGCGUAAAUAUAUGGAGGAACACCGGUGGCGAAGGCGGCUUGCUGGGCCACAACUGACACUGAGGCACGAAAGCGUGGGGAGCAAACAGGAUUAGAUACCCUGGUAGUCCACGCCGUAAACGAUGAGUACUAAGUGUANGGGAAACUCUGUGCUGUAGUUAACGCAAUAAGUACUCCGCCUGAGUAGUACGUACGCAAGUAUGAAACUCAAAGGAAUUGACGGGACCCCGCACAAGCGGUGGNUCAUGUUGUUUAAUUCGAUGAUACGCGAAGAACCUUACCAGGUCUUGA
Molecule: ribosomal RNA, 668 nt
Filed under: uncultured bacterium
Lineage: Bacteria
Description: bacterial SSU rRNA
Rfam family: Bacterial small subunit ribosomal RNA
Source: RNAcentral